Molecule: long non-coding RNA, 271 nt
Organism: Bombus pascuorum
Lineage: Eukaryota; Metazoa; Arthropoda; Insecta; Hymenoptera; Apidae
Exons: 2
Source: RefSeq, a predicted model, not a curated record
UUAUUGACGUUCUAAUAGAAAUGUUUAAUUGUUCAAUGGGGCCCUUUUUAUUUCAAACUAUCUUCUAUUUAUCGAUUAUAUAUAAGCAACACGUCUAGAAUAUAUUGUUGAAACGUGUAGAAGAUAUUAGUAAACAGUAUUUGCUCAUUCUAUAUAUAAUAGUAAGAUUACCCCUCAAAGAUAUGGAUGCAAACACAGUGCACCGUUAGAUGCAAUAUUUGUUCACAUUUGUUUUUUAUUGAUGUUCUAAUAAAAAUGUUUAAUUGUUCAA